AAAAAAUAAAAUUAUAUUAUUUCAACUUCUAUCUUUUUACCUCAAUAAUUUUAAAUUUCCUAUCAUUUUCACUCCUUUCUCCCAGAAGAAAAGAUCUUCUCUGCCUCUGCUUUAUUAGUUUAUUUCUCCCAACAGCCCCAUCUUCCUACUCUCUUUCUUUCUUUUUAUUUCCUCUUCUUUCUUCUCUCCUUCUUCGCGUCCUUCUACCAACGCCACUGCCGAAUCAUUCUCCAGUUCAGCCUCCAGUCUCCAUUGCCAACGGAAGUAAUUAAAAUCUCUAUUCGGUCGUUCGGGCUCUCCGGCUUUCCGUGCUCCAGUUUGGCGUUUUGGUCUUUGGUUUUAGGGUGAUGUACAUUACAUAUUAUGCAAUGAAGAGCCACUUCGGGUGAGUUCAUGUCGUCCGCUUUAGUAUAAAGGACCAUGGAAGAGGACAUCACUGCAUUUUUAUGAACUGGAGUUUUAUGCUGUGCUUUUCGAUUAUCUAUGCAUUGGUCUUCGAGUUAUUGUAUUUUUUGAAUGCAGGGACUUAUUGAAUUUGAGUCCGAGGCCUGAAAAUAUUAUUGAGGGCCUUUUUGCUGCUUUUA
Long non-coding RNA from Malus domestica (apple), 584 nucleotides. RefSeq lists it as uncharacterized. The record is from RefSeq and is a predicted model, not a curated record. NCBI's taxonomy places the organism in Eukaryota, Viridiplantae, Streptophyta, Magnoliopsida, Rosales, Rosaceae.